AUAUGAUUAUAUGUCAUGUUACAUAUUUCUUUUUAUUCGAUCGAGUAGAGUUCUAGAGAACAUAAUUCUCAUAUAAUUAAUCCUUCAGAGACUAUAUCUUUCAAGAAUUUCAUAUAAAUGUCAUAUCCAGUGUUCCAUCUCUUAUUGCCAGACUUUAGAUACUUAAAAGUAUUGCAUCCACCACAAGAGAAUGCAUCUCUUCAUAAUAUAUUUCUUAUCUUUGUGAAAAUCUCAUUAAUUUCACUAUUCUUUCACAUAAAGAUUCAUUUAUCUUCCACUGGUUUUACACAU
RNAcentral lists this small RNA (291 nucleotides) under Arabidopsis thaliana (thale cress). Its description in RNAcentral is "ATSL266170". The record is from RNAcentral. Lineage: Eukaryota; Viridiplantae; Streptophyta; Magnoliopsida; Brassicales; Brassicaceae.